This is a long non-coding RNA of Peromyscus californicus insignis, 1624 nucleotides long. RefSeq lists it as uncharacterized. The record is from RefSeq and is a predicted model, not a curated record. The transcript has 2 exons. NCBI's taxonomy places the organism in Eukaryota, Metazoa, Chordata, Mammalia, Rodentia, Cricetidae.
AUUUGAUUUAUAAUUGCUUUUCUCAAUAUAUAGCCUGGCGUUCUACCUGCCUGUAACGACUGCACUUGGGAACGCUGAGACACGAGGGUCUGAGAGGUCCGGGCCAGCCUACGAGCUAUCAUCCAGUAACUGAUGGAAACAGAUGCAGAGAGCCACAGCCAAGCACCAAGCCGAGCUCCAGGAGUCCAGUCGAAGAGAAGGAAGAGGGAUUAUAUGAGCAAGGGGCUUCAAGACCAUGAUGGGGAAACCUACAGAGACAACUGAACCAAGCUAGUGGGAACUCACGAAUUUUGGACGACAGCUGUGGAGCCUGCAUAGGACUGGACUGGGACCUCUGCAUAGGCAAGACAGUUGUGUAGCUUGGUCUAUUUGAGGGUCCCCUGACAGUAGAAAUAGGAUGUAUCCCUGGUGCAUGAACUGGCUUUUUGGAGCCCAUUGCCUAUGGUGGGACAUCUUACACAGCCUUGAUGCAGGGGGAGGGGCUUAGACCUGCCUCAACUGAAUGUACCAUGCUUUGCUGACUCCCCAUGGGAGGCCAUACCUUUUUGGAGGAGGGGAUGGGGGGGUGGUCUGGGGAGGGAAGGGGGCGAUCUGUGGUUGGUAUGUGGAAUGAAUAAAAUAUUUCUUAAUAAAAAAAAUGUGGAUGAGAGCCCCUUAGGGAUUUUGGUAUUCAAGACACCUCUGGACCCUUAGACCUUGUAGAAGCAGCUCAUAAGUCCUUGUGAAAGCAAGCACUUCCCUCCCUCUUGAAAUGUCCUUUAUUUGCUCUGAUUUUCUCUUCUAGCUGUGAAGAGAAAUGUGAAGAGAAUGGUAAUUAGGUUUAAAUCUUAGCACAAUCUGUGGGGACUUGCUGGGCCUGUUAAAGAGGGUAUUAUACACUUGAAGGAACUAAAAUCAGCUAGCAUGUGGUAUUGGGAAGUCAGAGUAUACUUUGGAUUAGGUUUUCAAAGUGUUCAGUUAGAGGGCUUUAUAACUUUAUUGACUUGUACUCUUUGGGAGCAGAUAUUUAACCCUAUUAUGGACUACAGGAAUGGGACAAACUCACUGCUGGCUUAGCUAUUCAAAGCCUGGAAAUGUGAGAUGAGCCAGCUUUGGACUCCUGGAGAAGACAGCUAUUUCCUGAUGAAGCAUGAUUGGCAUGCUCAUUUGUAAAUCCUAAUUGUUUUGUAAUAAGUGGUUUGGGUGGUCAUCUGCAAAUGUUUUUGUUUUUCUGACAUCCCCUUUUAAUCUCAUACAUUGAUAAGAAGACCACCAGAGUUUUGAAUAAUGGUGGUUAUUUUGUUCCUGACUUUGACGGCCAUGCCUCCAGUGUUGUUUCUAAUACUUUAAAGAUCUAUUUAUGUGUACACCAUAUGCAUUCAGGAUCCUGCUUAGGUCAGAAGAGGGUGUCAGAUCCCCCGGUACUGUGGUUUACAGGUUAUAAGCCACCAUGUGGGUGCUGGGAACCCAUCUCAGAUCCUCUGCAAGAGCGCCAAGUGAGCCACCUCUUCAGCCUGUUUCUAAUUUUUUAUUAUAUUUGCAAAAUUAAGGACAUUAUGUACACUGAGUUUUGUAAGCCAUUUUCUUGGCAUCUGGUGAUAUGUUUGCCCCUCAAUAUUUUAUUAAAAUUUAUGUUAAUUAUCUA